This 209-nucleotide microRNA precursor is filed under the name Oryza brachyantha (malo sina). Its description in RNAcentral is "MIR812 microRNA precursor family". It matches the Rfam family "MIR812 microRNA precursor family". Lineage: Eukaryota; Viridiplantae; Streptophyta; Magnoliopsida; Poales; Poaceae. The record is from Rfam by way of RNAcentral.
AAUAAGAUUAUUUUUUAGUUUCUAAAUACAAUGGUUUGACCUUUUGUCUUAUUUGAAAUUUUUUUGCAAUUUAUAUUUUUAUUUUUACUAGAUGAUAGAAUAUAAAUAAUAUUUUAUGUGUGACUAAUUUUUUUAAGUUUUUAUAUAAAUUUUUUAAAGAAGACGAAUUGUCAAAGUAUUGGAUACAGAAAUCGAAAAACGACUUUAUU